Zea mays is the source of this 207-nucleotide long non-coding RNA. RefSeq lists it as uncharacterized. Lineage: Eukaryota; Viridiplantae; Streptophyta; Magnoliopsida; Poales; Poaceae. The transcript is spliced from 2 exons. The record is from RefSeq and is a predicted model, not a curated record.
GUGUAAGCGUGCAAUCAAACUAUCCAGAGCAUCCAAUCUAGAUCCAACGGUUUCAUAUGGAAGGGGUUAAAAGUAAAAUAGGUACUAUGUUUUAGGUGGAAGGGGUUAAAUAUAAAAUAACAGUCAUCAUUAGAUCUAGAUCGGAUGCACCAGAUCGCUUGAUUGCAUGCUUGCACCAGGAUAAGUGAUUGCAUAGGAUAUUUUCCC